UUUGGGCUGGGCUGGGUUGGGCAGUUCUUCUGCUGGACUCACCUGUGACCAGC
Gorilla gorilla gorilla (western lowland gorilla) is the source of this 53-nucleotide microRNA precursor. The record is from Ensembl. NCBI's taxonomy places the organism in Eukaryota, Metazoa, Chordata, Mammalia, Primates, Hominidae.